This 443-nucleotide ribosomal RNA is filed under the name uncultured bacterium. RNAcentral describes it as "partial 16S ribosomal RNA". It matches the Rfam family "Bacterial small subunit ribosomal RNA", at positions 338 to 795 of the family's 1533-position model. The record is from RNAcentral.
CCUACGGGAGGCAGCAGUGGGGAAUAUUGGGCAAUGGGCGCAAGCCUGACCCAGCGACGCCGCGUGAAGGAAGAAGGCUUUCGGGUUGUAAACUUCUUUUGUCAGGGACGAAACAAGUGACGGUACCUUACGAAUAAGCCACUGCUAACGACGUGCCAGCAGCCGCGGUACUACGUAGGUGGCAAGCGUUAUCCGGAUUUACUGGGUGUAAAGGGCUUGUAGGCGGGACUGCAAGUCAGAUGUGAAAACCACGGGCUCAACCUGUGGCCUGCAUUUGAAACUGUAGUUCUUGAGUACAGGAGAGGUAGACGGAAUUCCUAGUGUAGCGGUGAAAUGCGUAGAUAUUAGGAGGAACACCAGUGGCGAAGGCGGUCUGCUGGACAGCAACUGACGCUGAGGCGCGAAAGCGUGGGGAGCAAACAGGAUUAGAUACCCGAGUAGUC